Non-coding RNA from Melampsora americana, 89 nucleotides. The record is from the annotation of a GenBank genome assembly. Lineage: Eukaryota; Fungi; Basidiomycota; Pucciniomycetes; Pucciniales; Melampsoraceae.
GCUCCCCUAGUCUAAAGGUAGGGCGUAGGACUUCUAUCUACACAACUGUGGUGAUCCAAAGAUUGCGGGUUCAACCCCCGCGGGGAGUG